CUUAUGAAAGUUAGCGGCGGACGGGUGAGUUAACACGUGGGUAACCUGCCCAUAAGACUGGGAUAACUCCGGGAAACCGGGGCUAAUACCGGAUAAUAUUUUGAACUGCAUGGUUCGAAAUUGAAAGGCGGCUUCGGCUGUCACUUAUGGAUGGACCCGCGUCGCAUUAGCUAGUUGGUGAGGUAACGGCUCACCAAGGCAACGAUGCGUAGCCGACCUGAGAGGGUGAUCGGCCACACUGGGACUGAGACACGGCCCAGACUCCUACGGGAGGCAGCAGUAGGGAAUCUUCCGCAAUGGACGAAAGUCUGACGGAGCAACGCCGCGUGAGUGAUGAAGGCUUUCGGGUCGUAAAACUCUGUUGUUAGGGAAGAACAAGUGCUAGUUGAAUAAGCUGGCACCUUGACGGUACCUAACCAGAAAGCCACGGCUAACUACGUGCCAGCAGCCGCGGUAAUACGUAGGUGGCAAGCGUUAUCCGGAAUUAUUGGGCGUAAAGCGCGCGCAGGUGGUUUCUUAAGUCUGAUGUGAAAGCCCACGGCUCAACCGUGGAGGGUUCAUUGGAAACUGGGAGACUUGAGUGCAAGAAGAGGAAAAGUGGAAUUCCAUGUGUAGCGGUGAAAUGCGUAGAGAUAUGGAGGAACCACCAGUGGCGAAGGCGACUUUUCUGGUCUGUAACUGACACUGAGGCGCGAAAGCGUGGGGAGCAACAGGAUUAAAUACCCUGGUAUUCCACGCCGUAACGAUGAGUGCUAAGUGGU
Molecule: ribosomal RNA, 761 nt
Filed under: Bacillus cereus
Lineage: Bacteria; Bacillati; Bacillota; Bacilli; Caryophanales; Bacillaceae
Description: bacterial SSU rRNA
Rfam family: Bacterial small subunit ribosomal RNA
Source: RNAcentral